RNAcentral lists this ribosomal RNA (556 nucleotides) under uncultured bacterium. Its description in RNAcentral is "bacterial SSU rRNA". It matches the Rfam family "Bacterial small subunit ribosomal RNA", at positions 355 to 897 of the family's 1533-position model. The record is from RNAcentral.
UAGGGAAUCUUCCNUUCAAUGGGGGCAACCCUGACCGAGCAACGCCGCGUGAGUGAAGAAGGUUUUCGGAUCGUAAAGCUCUUGUUGUAAGUCAAGAACGAGUGUGAGAGUGGAAAGUUCACACUGUGACGGUAGCUUACCAGAAAGGGACGGCUAACUACGUGCCAGCAGCCGCGGUAAUACGUAGGUCCCGAGCGUUGUCCGGAUUUAUUGGGCGUAAAGCGAGCGCAGGCGGUUUGAUAAGUCUGAAGUUAAAGGCUGUGGCUCAACCAUAGUUCGCUUUGGAAACUGUCAAACUUGAGUGCAGAAGGGGAGAGUGGAAUUCCAUGUGUAGCGGUGAAAUGCGUAGAUAUAUGGAGGAACACCGGUGGCGAAAGCGGCUCUCUGGUCUGUAACUGACGCUGAGGCUCGAAAGCGUGGGGAGCGAACAGGAUUAGAUACCCUGGUAGUCCACGCCGUAAACGAUGAGUGCUAGGUGUUGGAUCCUUUCCGGGAUUCAGUGCCGCAGCUAAACGCAUUAAGCACUCCCGCCUGGGGAGUACGACCGCAAGGUUGA